Molecule: ribosomal RNA, 486 nt
Filed under: Samia wangi
Lineage: Eukaryota; Metazoa; Arthropoda; Insecta; Lepidoptera; Saturniidae
Description: partial 16S ribosomal RNA
Source: RNAcentral
GCCUGUUUAUCAAAAACAUGUCUUUUUGUUAAUAAUUUAAAGUUUAAUUUGCCCCCUGAUGUAAUAUUGAAGGGCUGCAGUAUUUUGACUGUACAAAGGUAGCAUAAUCAUUAGUCUUUUAAUUGGUGACUUGUAUGAAGGAUUGGAUGAGAUAUAAGCUGUUUUAAUAGUAUUUAAUUGAAUUUAAUUUUUUAUUUAAAAAGUUAAAAUAAUUUAAAAAGACGAGAAGACCCUAUAGAGUUUUAUAUUUUAUUAAAUUAAAAUUAUUUAUAUAAUUAUUAAUAUAGAUUUAAUUUUAAUAUUUUGUUGGGGUGACAAAAAAAUAAAAAAAACUUUUUUUAUUAUUUACAUAAAUAAAUGAAUUUUUGAUCCAAUUUUAUUGAUUAAAAGAAAAAAUUACCUUAGGGAUAACAGCGUAAUUUUUUUUUUUAGUUCUUAUAAGAAAAAAAGUUUGCGACCUCGAUGUUGGAUUAAGAUAAAAUUUAA